RNAcentral lists this ribosomal RNA (504 nucleotides) under uncultured bacterium. RNAcentral's name for it is "bacterial SSU rRNA". It matches the Rfam family "Bacterial small subunit ribosomal RNA", at positions 19 to 507 of the family's 1533-position model. The record is from RNAcentral.
AUGGCUCAGGAUGAACGCUAGCUACAGGCUUAACACAUGCAAGUCGAGGGGAAACGACAUCGAAAGCUUGCUUUUGUAUGGGCGUCGACCGGCGCGACGGGUGAGUAACGCGUAUCCAACCUUCCCCAUAGUCAGGAAUAGCCCGGCGAAAGUCGAAUUAAUGCCUGAUGUUUUCCACGGACGGCAUCUGAUGUGGAACAAAGAUUCAUCGCUAUGGGAUGGGGGAUGCGUCUGAUUAGCUUGUUGGCGGGGUAACGGCCCACCAAGGCAACGAUCAGUAGGGGUUCUGAGAGGAAGGUCCCCCACAUUGGAACUGAGACACGGUCCAAACUCCUACGGGAGGCAGCAGUGAGGAAUAUUGGUCAAUGGGCGGAAGCCUGAACCAGCCAAGUAGCGUGAGGGAUGACUGCCCUAUGGGUUGUAAACCUCUUUUAUAAGGGAAUAAAAUACGGGACGUGUCCUGUUUUGCAUGUACCUUAUGAAUAAGGACCGGCUAAUUCCGUG